Molecule: long non-coding RNA, 247 nt
Organism: Sceloporus undulatus (fence lizard)
Lineage: Eukaryota; Metazoa; Chordata; Lepidosauria; Squamata; Phrynosomatidae
Exons: 3
Source: RefSeq, a predicted model, not a curated record
CUAGGGAAGCAUUUCCUUCAAGCUUUUAAACAGAAUAUUGCUUGGUGAACAAAACAUUCUUUGCAGUGAGGUCCUAAGUCUUUUCCAGGUUUGGGUUUGCUGAUGGCCAGGUGUCAACGGGUGGCGACUCUCUUUAUUGCCUGGCCACCAGACCUGGAAGGCAACCAGUCUCACCAGCAGCUGGAUGACAAGCUGAGAGCAUCUGAGAACACAUCAUAAGAAAAGCACAGCUGGAAUCAGAAGAAGG